UGGUUCUCGCAUCGAUGAAGAACGCAGCGAAAUGCGAUAAGUAAUGUGAAUUGCAGAGUCCAGUGAAUCAUCGAAUCUUUGAACGCACAUUGCGCCCCCUGGCACUCCGGGGGGCACGCCUGUCUGAGAGUCAUCGCAACCAAACUCGGGCCACCUGCGUCCGGUCCUGGGGACGGUCGGCCACCCGGCCGGCCGCCCCGAAAUCCAGCGGACUCCGUGGAGAGAGGGGCGCGUCUUGAUCAGCCAGCACGCGAAGACCCGCACUCCCGGCAAGUCCGGUGACCCACCCGUCCCGGGUGGGCGGAACCCACAGGCUUGACCUCAGAUCAGGUGGGGAUACCCGCUGA
Molecule: unclassified non-coding RNA, 347 nt
Filed under: uncultured fungus
Lineage: Eukaryota; Fungi
Description: partial contains 5.8S ribosomal RNA and internal transcribed spacer 2
Rfam family: 5.8S ribosomal RNA (bases 1-133)
Source: RNAcentral